AUGGCCGCCGCUGCAUCGUCCUCCUCCCCUCCAGCGGCCAUCACCUGCCGAGCGGCGGUGGCAUGGGGGCCGGGGCAGGCGCUGGUGAUGGAGGACGUGGAGGUCGCCCCGCCGGGGCCACUAGAGAUCCGCGUCAAGGUCGUCUCCACCUCCAUCUGCCGCAGCGACGUCACCCAGUGGCAGUCCACGGCGCAGCCCGAUCUGUUCCCCAGAAUUUUCGGGCACGAAGCAUCCGGGGUGGUCGAGAGCGUCGGGGAAGGAGUGACCGAGUUCCAAGUCGGAGACCACGCGCUCACCGUCUUCAUCGGGGAAUGCAUGAGCUGCAAGCAUUGCGUGUCGAGCAAAAGCAACAUGUGCCAGACGCUCGGCCUGGAGAGGAAGGGCGUCAUGCACAGCGACCAGACCACCCGCUUCUCCAUCGGCGGGAAGCCCGUGUACCAUUACUGCGCCGUGUCGAGCUUCAGCGAGUACGCGGUUGUCCACUCGGGCUGCGCGGUCAAGGUCAGCCCCACCAUGCCCAUGGACAGGAUAUGCCUGCUCAGCUGCGGCGCCUCUGCAGGCCUUGGUGCGGCUUGGAAUGUUGCUGAUGUAUCCAAGGGAUCAAGUGUAGUUAUAUUUGGUCUUGGAACUGUAGGACUUUCGGUCGCUCAAGGUGCUAAGCUACGGGGAGCUUCCAAGAUUAUUGGAGUAGAUACCAAUCCUGAUAAGCAAGAAAAGGGGAAGUCUUUUGGUGUUACAGAUUUUAUUAAUCCUGCCGAAUUGAAUGAACCUGUUCAGCAGGUAGUAAAACGGCUUACUGAUGGAGGGGCUGAUUACUCUUUUGAAUGUGUGGGUGAUACCGGAGUAGUCUCGACUGCAUUGCAAUCAUGUUCUGAUGGAUGGGGCCUGACUGUAACUCUUGGCGUACCAAAAGCAAAACCAGAAGUUUCUGCUCAUUAUGGAUUGCUUCUCUCUGGAAGAACACUGAAGGGGUCUUUGUUUGGAGGAUGGAGACCCAAAUCUGAUAUACCUUUGUUAGUGGAGAAGUACGCAAACAAGGAAAUCCAAGUUGAUGGCCUUGUCACACAUGAUAUGCCAUUCAGUGACAUCAACAAAGCGCUUGAACUGAUGCUACAAAACAGGUGUUUGCGAUGCGUGAUUCACAUGCCAAAGUGA
Molecule: ribosomal RNA, 1155 nt
Filed under: Triticum aestivum (bread wheat)
Lineage: Eukaryota; Viridiplantae; Streptophyta; Magnoliopsida; Poales; Poaceae
Description: partial small subunit ribosomal RNA
Source: RNAcentral